Non-coding RNA from Schistocephalus solidus, 70 nucleotides. The record is from Rfam. NCBI's taxonomy places the organism in Eukaryota, Metazoa, Platyhelminthes, Cestoda, Diphyllobothriidea, Diphyllobothriidae.
GAGACCGUGGCUCAAUGGUAGAGCGUUCGACUUAAAUACCAAAUUUCACGGGUUCGAAUCCCAGGUGUUU